RNAcentral lists this transfer RNA (65 nucleotides) under Mugil cephalus (flathead mullet). RNAcentral describes it as "tRNA-Cys". It matches the Rfam family "tRNA". Rfam says of the family: Transfer RNA (tRNA) molecules are approximately 80 nucleotides in length. Their secondary structure includes four short double-helical elements and three loops (D, anti-codon, and T loops). Lineage: Eukaryota; Metazoa; Chordata; Actinopteri; Mugiliformes; Mugilidae. The record is from RNAcentral.
AGCUUAGGAGUGUGAACACAUGAGAUUGCAAAUCUUAAGAAGCAGAUUAAUUUCUGCCUGAGCUU